This 496-nucleotide ribosomal RNA is filed under the name uncultured bacterium. Its description in RNAcentral is "partial 16S ribosomal RNA". It matches the Rfam family "Bacterial small subunit ribosomal RNA", at positions 28 to 507 of the family's 1533-position model. The record is from RNAcentral.
GAUGAACGCUGGCGGCGUGCCUAAUACAUGCAAGUCGAGCGAACAGACGAGGAGCUUGCUCCUCUGACGUUAGCGGCGGACGGGUGAGUAACACGUGGAUAACCUACCUAUAAGACUGGGAUAACUUCGGGAAACCGGAGCUAAUACCGGAUAAUAUAUUGAACCGCAUGGUUCAAUAGUGAAAGACGGUUUUGCUGUCACUUAUAGAUGGAUCCGCGCCGCAUUAGCUAGUUGGUAAGGUAACGGCUUACCAAGGCAACGAUGCGUAGCCGACCUGAGAGGGUGAUCGGCCACACUGGAACUGAGACACGGUCCAGAGUCCUACGGGAGGCAGCAGUAGGGAAUCUUCCGCAAUGGGCGAAAGCCUGACGGAGCAACGCCGCGUGAGUGAUGAGGUCUUCGGAUCGUAAAACUCUGUUAUUAGGGAAGAACAAAUGUGUAAGUAACUAUGCACGUCUUGACGGUACCUAAUCAGAAAGCCACGGCUAACUACGUG